AAAGGGAGGAGCUCCGCCCAGAAAGCUUUUCAGCUCCUCGGAGAACAAUAUGGCAGUGUCCUAUAUAUGGCUUCCCUAGGAGUCGGAGGUGGCUUACAUUUCAAUCACACUCUUGAUGGUCUUGAAGGAAUACCUACCCUUGGCAUUCAGUAAAAUGGGAACACUUUGAUGACAAGAUUCUUCAGGCACAGAAUUAUAUAUAAUAUUUUAAUAGUAAAGCAUGAUUAUAUGUGCCAGACCUUCCUACGACUUCAGCAGAAAAAUAUUGUCCCUUGACUUUCAACUCUUGUCCUCUUGUUAUCCUCCAUUAUGAAAUAAUUUCUCGGGAGUACGAAGAUGAGCUUGGCAACUGAGAAGGCUGUUGCAGUGACAGCACAAUUUGCUUGAGAAUUUGU
Crotalus tigris (Tiger rattlesnake) is the source of this 395-nucleotide long non-coding RNA. RefSeq lists it as uncharacterized. The transcript has 3 exons. Lineage: Eukaryota; Metazoa; Chordata; Lepidosauria; Squamata; Viperidae. The record is from RefSeq and is a predicted model, not a curated record.